GCUCAGUAGCAUAGUGGUUUAAAGCAUUCUCCCGGAAAGAGAAGGACCCGGGUUCAAUUCCCGGUUGAGUUG
This 72-nucleotide transfer RNA is filed under the name Nocardioides humilatus. RNAcentral's name for it is "Nocardioides sp. BN130099 tRNA-Ser". It matches the Rfam family "tRNA". From Rfam's summary of the family: Transfer RNA (tRNA) molecules are approximately 80 nucleotides in length. Their secondary structure includes four short double-helical elements and three loops (D, anti-codon, and T loops). Further hydrogen bonds mediate the characteristic L-shaped molecular structure. tRNAs have two regions of fundamental functional importance: the anti-codon, which is responsible for specific mRNA codon recognition, and the 3' end, to which the tRNAs corresponding amino acid is attached (by aminoacyl-tRNA synthetases). tRNAs cope with the degeneracy of the genetic code in two manners: having more than one tRNA (with a specific anti-codon) for a particular amino acid; and 'wobble' base-pairing, i.e. permitting non-standard base-pairing at the 3rd anti-codon position. The record is from RNAcentral. Lineage: Bacteria; Bacillati; Actinomycetota; Actinomycetes; Propionibacteriales; Nocardioidaceae.